This 217-nucleotide unclassified non-coding RNA is filed under the name uncultured Ascomycota. RNAcentral's name for it is "sequence contains ITS1". Lineage: Eukaryota; Fungi; Ascomycota. The record is from RNAcentral.
CAGAGUUUAACAACUCCCAACCCAUGUGAACUUACCUUUGUUGCCUCGGUGGAAGCUACCCUGGACCUACCCUGUAGCAAGUUACCCUGUAGCGAGUUACCCUGUAACAACCUACCCUGUAACGACCUACCCUGUAGCGUCCCGGGCCGGCAACCACCGGUGGACCUAUAAACUCUUGUUAUUUAUUGACAUCUGAGCGUCUUAUUUUAAUAAGUCA